Rana temporaria (common frog) is the source of this 3062-nucleotide long non-coding RNA. RefSeq lists it as uncharacterized. The record is from RefSeq and is a predicted model, not a curated record. The transcript is spliced from 2 exons. NCBI's taxonomy places the organism in Eukaryota, Metazoa, Chordata, Amphibia, Anura, Ranidae.
CAUUUAUUGGGACUGGGUCUCAUUAAGGAUUCCCCUGCUUUCUUCUCCCCAGGUAGAUGGGCGAGAACUAUAAGAAGGCUCUAUGCAGCACAUGCAUUGCUUCUUUUGUUCAGGAGAAAUCAACCCCUAUGCAGGACAGCUGGUUACCUCCGUAAAGAAAGAACUCUUUGCCACGAUUCAAACUUUUCGUGACUCUUAGUUUUCCCUUCCACAACUCAAGCCUUCACCUCUCAGGAAAGGUCACUCCCAUGUUCCUUUUAGUGAGGAUUCAGAGGAAUCAGGAGCCAGAAACUUAGAGGGUUAAACUAUCCACUUAAUUGUGGUGGAUUCACCUAAACAAGGACUCCUUGUCCGCCCUAUCCUCUGCAGUGGUUUAUUUAGCUGAGGCUUCAGCUGAAACAAUUAAGAGGUUGAGAGGCCGCAGCCCUGAUUUAAUUCGGCGAGAAGGGCGGGGUGGUUAAAGACCUGAGGCCAGGUGAUGCAGCUUCUGAAAAUUAAAGCUUGCAGUAUUCUCUUUUCAGGAGAUCUUUUUGGGCCUGAACUGGGAAGCAUCCUGGACAGGUCAUCAAAAAAAAAAACCCCCCCAAGAUGUUUUUUUUUCCGCAUCAAAGGACUCAAGAUACAAAGCCCAAGGAGGCAGGAAGAGUUGGACUGUGCAGCAAGCCAAAGGGAAAGGGGGAAUUCUCUCCCAUCUUCCUAUGCAAGCCGAGACUCAGCCGUGCGGGUAGGCGGAGGCCUUCAAAGGUUCCUUCCGCAGUGAUCAUCGGUAACAUCCAGUCAGUACAUCCUGAUCACUCUUACCCAGGGUUAUGUCAGAGUUCUCGGAGACCCCUCCAAGAGAGGUUUUGUUGAUUACAAAUGCUUAAAAAAAAAAAAAGACCCAGUUAAAAACCCUGGCCAUGCAGUCUCAUUAAGAGAGCUGAUUCAACAGACUGGGAUACUAUUGUCACUUCUUCCUGGUAGAGAAGCCUACAGAAAAGUUCAGAUUGAGCUUAAACUUGAAGCCUCUAAACGAAUCUGUCAGAUACAGAAGGUUUAAGAUGGAUUUAACUUCUUUUGGUCAAGAAUCUAUUGACGCCAGACUGUUUUAUGGCGUCUUGAGGGACGCGUACCUGUGCAUCCCUACCUCCCCUCAGUCCAGAGGGUUGGCAGUAAAGUGUAGUGGGAGUGGUUCAUCACCUUAAAUUCAGGGCCCUCUCAUUCGGACUGUCAUUAUCACCUCGUAUUUUUUUCACCAAGGUGGUGGCGGAAGCCCUAGCUCCGCUUCGCCUACUGGGUAUUGCAGUUUGGCUUACCUAGACGACCGUUUUUCUUUGCCCCAUGGAAAGAUAUGUUCCCGAACGAUCUAUUCAGGGCGAGAAGUUGCUCGGAAUCACUGGGCUAGAUUGUGAACCCUCAGGUGUUAUCCCUAGUUCCAUCUCAGGAAGUCUGUUUACUUGGGUUACCAGGUAGAUUCGGUAAACCGGAAAAUGUUUUCCCCUGAGAUCAUGAGAUCACGGUCUCAGUUCCCUGGACUCUCAGAUAAAAAUGCCAUCGCGAGGGAAGAGAUCUCUCUAUUGGUGGAGAUAUCAGAAGAGCCUUCAAAGGGUCUGGAGUGGUCCUUUCCAGUAGGGAAAGGAUUGACUAUGGACGCCAGGAGGAUGAUGGGGAGCUUAAGAAUUUCAUCCAGGGGUCUUGGAUGAAAAAAGAGACAAAGCGAUCCUCAGACUAGAAGGAGCUAAAGGCGAUUACAUUGGCUCUAACAGAGUUGCUCCGGGUCUGCUAAAUCACCAUGUUCAGGUGUCAACGGACUAUGCCACAGCGGUGGUAUACCUAAACAGACAAGGGGGCGCAAGAAGCAGACCUCUGCAGAUUCUUGUGGCUAAAAACUCUUCUCGGAGCAGGAAAGGAAUUGCUGUCCCUAUAAGCGAUACUCUUAGUCACUGAACAGGGUGGCGCAUUACCUGAGCUGAUAUCCGGUUCGGGAAGCAGAGUGUUCUCUGAACCCGGAGAUCUGUUGGGAAAAUUUCCAACUAGCGGGGUCAUCCAGAGCGAGACCUGUUUGCCUCAAGGGGAAAACUCUCAGGUUUUUGCAAUUCUUUUCCAAAAACAGACUGGACGGGUCUGUAACGAUAUUGCGCGCUGGACACGCGACUAGCUGUUGUGUAAGAACCAUACAGCAGCCAUGUUGUUUUAAAACAGUAUAAGCAGUGGAAAGAAACUCACUCCCUCCCUCCCUUAUUCUCAGGAAUUCAUAGGCAUUCUACUUCAAAAGAUCUGUUAUCUCCUCCGAGAAACAGAGCAACCUAGGUUUCUUAAUGUCUCCUGGCAGGGUUCCUGGCCUGUCGUAAAACUGUCGUCCUCUCACCUCAGAGAGUCCACAGACCCCUGUCGUAAAUGCCUUAGACUCAUAAACGCUGAAGACUAAGGAAUAAGUACAUGUGUUUCAUAACUUCCAGCUAACUCAUAGCACAGCCCAACAACAGACAUAUUUAGUUUCCUCAGAUAAUUUGUAACGUUUCGAGCCCAGACAUGAAUAUGAUCAAUCAUACGGAAGGCCCCUGGCCCCCAUUUAUUCAUCAUAGGUAGAUUAACCAUGGUAGACUUGUCACGUUUGGACUUUUCUUAAAGCAAAUAUCACGCUCUACAAUAACACGGAUGUUGGUAGUCUGUAACUAUUAGAACUGCAGAGAUAUGAAUAUGUAUCACAAAGUGUACCUGGGUUAUGGGCGUGAAUGUGGACCCUCCCAGUAACCAGCCCCUAAAUCAGAUGACCAGACAAUUGGUUACUGGUCGUGUCAACACCCCUUUUUGAUGGGACAGAAAAGAGGAGAUGCCAAGUCAAGGGAGUGCUCUUUUUACCAUCCAAGCAAGAGCAUCUGCCAAGUUUGAGAACCGAUUACCCAGUUCAUCGAUCGAACUCUGAUCAACCUUGGACAUUAAUUGCAAGUAUUCUUCUUCUUCAAUUCUACCCUAUUACUUUGUCGCUGUAUAUUGUCGUUAUCUCUUUAAAACAUAUUUUUCUGUAACACUUUAUUGCACCAAGUUUGCCCUUUUCGUAAUAAACCUUUUAUGUUGAAAAG